This 460-nucleotide ribosomal RNA is filed under the name uncultured bacterium. RNAcentral describes it as "partial 16S ribosomal RNA". It matches the Rfam family "Bacterial small subunit ribosomal RNA", at positions 338 to 795 of the family's 1533-position model. The record is from RNAcentral.
CCUACGGGAGGCAGCAGUGAGGAAUAUUGGUCAAUGGACGAGAGUCUGAACCAGCCAAGUAGCGUGAAGGAUGACUGCCCUAUGGGUUGUAAACUUCUUUUAUAUGGGAAUAAAACGUUCCACGUGUGGGAUUUUGUAUGUACCAUAUGAAUAAGGAUCGGCUAACUCCGUGCCAGCAGCCGCGGUAAUACGGAGGAUCCGAGCGUUAUCCGGAUUUAUUGGGUUUAAAGGGAGCGUAGGUGGAUUGUUAAGUCAGUUGUGAAAGUUUGCGGGUCAAACGUAAAAUUGCAGUUGAAACUGGCAGUCUUGAGUACAGGAGAGGUGGGCGGAAUUCGUGGUGUAGCGGUGAAAUGCUUAGAUAUCACGAAGAACUCCGAUUGCGAAGGCAGUUCACUGGACUGCAACUGACACUGAGGCUCGAAAGUGUGGGUAUCAAACAGGAUUAGAUACCCCUGUAGUC